UGGUGGGAUAAGGUUGAAGACACAGCUUUUCUCCUUUCUUACCACCAGCUAUCUUGCAAGGACAUCAGGCGAGGAUGGGAAAACGCUGAUUGGAGAUGAGAACAGUUCAGACUGACCUCUAGAUCACAGGCCCUAAAUUCCAGAGGGGUGUGUCUGUGUGCAUUCUCUUCUCUUUUCUGACAGGGAAAACUGAUGAUGAUAUUUAGAAGGACUUGUUUGUCUCCCACUUGAAGGGUAGAUAAGAUGCUGUUCUUUGAAGUGAGCUGAGAGAGUGUAAGUGAAAGAGAGAAGACCUUAAACCCGGGAAAUAGACUGUGAAAAGACAAUCCUUUGCUGAAAGAUGUCUUCUGGUUAAAGUGUCAUCCAGUUCAAGAUCAGGUUAAAAAUAAUGAAAGAUCAGAAGGAAGGACAGAAUUUUUGGAGUUGUCUGUCUUCUGGACAGCAGAGACAUGUUGUUUAGGGCAGCUAAACCUUCAACUUGUCCUAGUAAUGAACUGACAACCAGUUCAGUUAUCCCUUGAGUAUCAGCGACACCACAUACUCAGACUCCUGCAACAUGAAGAAUCUCAGGAAGAUCCAAUAAACAAGUUGGGCUGGUUGCACAUAACUCUAGUUGCCUUCAGACCCAAUACCCUUGGGGGGUCUGAACUUGUAGAAGGCAUCACCAAAUAUCCUUGGCUGAAUUUCCACCAGUCUCAAGCAGAAUGUAAGAGGGAAUGGUGUACUAAUGAAAGGAUACUAUUCCUGCUCCACAAUGGAAAUAAAAUCUUGUGAUUCUACCAUGAUGCCAAUUUGUCUGGCCACUUCAAAUUUCUAAAGACUGUUGCACUCAAUACACAGUUCCUACUGGAACUUUGAACAUUGUCAAGGCCUAUCCUACUUGCCCCUUCUUGAAAUGGGCACUGGAUAAGACUUUUGCAACUUUUGCCAACUCCACAACACAUAUAGAC
RNAcentral lists this long non-coding RNA (950 nucleotides) under Salvator merianae (Argentine black and white tegu). RNAcentral's name for it is "lncRNA (ENSSMRG00000012127.1)". Lineage: Eukaryota; Metazoa; Chordata; Lepidosauria; Squamata; Teiidae. The record is from RNAcentral.